GAUGAACGCUAGCUACAGGCUUAACACAUGCAAGUCGAGGGGCAGCGCAGUGUAGCAAUACAUGGGCGGCGACCGGCGCACGGGUGCGUAACGCGUAUCCAACCUUCCCGUUACUCAGGGAUAGCCUUCCGAAAGGGAGAUUAAUACCUGAUGGUGUUUGAAUUCCGCAUGUUAUUCAAACUAAAGAUUUAUCGGUAACGGAUGGGGAUGCGUGACAUUAGAUAGUAGGCGGGGUAACGGCCCACCUAGUCUACGAUGUCUAGGGGUUCUGAGAGGAAGGUCCCCCACACUGGAACUGAGACACGGUCCAGACUCCUACGGGAGGCAGCAGUGAGGAAUAUUGGUCAAUGGUCGAAGACUGAACCAGCCAAGUAGCGUGAAGGAUGAAGGUUCUAUGGAUUGUAAACUUCUUUUAUACGGGAAUAAAACCUCCUACGUGUAGGAGCUUGUAUGUACCGUAUGAAUAAGCAUCGGCUAACUCCGUGCCAGCAGCCGCGGU
Molecule: ribosomal RNA, 499 nt
Filed under: uncultured bacterium
Lineage: Bacteria
Description: bacterial SSU rRNA
Rfam family: Bacterial small subunit ribosomal RNA
Source: RNAcentral